GAAAAAAUGGCAUUAAGACAAAUUUUUCUACAAUAGUAAUUGUAAUUCUAGUUAGUCUACAAAUAUCUUUAGUGAAAAUUUCUUAA
This 86-nucleotide transfer RNA is filed under the name Pyropia yezoensis (susabi-nori). Its description in RNAcentral is "tRNA-Ala". The record is from RNAcentral. Lineage: Eukaryota; Rhodophyta; Bangiophyceae; Bangiales; Bangiaceae.